CAAAUCUUUUGCGAGCCUGUGGGCGUGCCUUUACGGUGCGUGCGCAGUAACUCACAACAUUAGCACAAGGCCGCAAGGUCUUGAUGUUUACGCUUGUUUGUUUGACAGAGUUAGUUGAGAAAUAAUAAAGA
Molecule: unclassified non-coding RNA, 131 nt
Filed under: uncultured Rozellomycota
Lineage: Eukaryota; Fungi; Rozellomycota
Description: uncultured Cryptomycota sequence contains ITS1
Source: RNAcentral